RNAcentral lists this long non-coding RNA (4788 nucleotides) under Sus scrofa (pig). Its description in RNAcentral is "lncRNA (ENSSSCG00000058666.1)". Lineage: Eukaryota; Metazoa; Chordata; Mammalia; Artiodactyla; Suidae. The record is from RNAcentral.
UAAUGACUAAAAUAUGUCUCUCAAAUGCUAUUCAACAAUAGUGCUAUGACUUCAUAAAGCCACUGAUUUAGCUCUAAUUCUAUUUAACAAUCACUUGAUUAUCAGCUUUUCUAUGGGCAUGCCCUUUGUAAAAUUUUUCUGUACAUAUGAAACACAAUAGGAUGAUAUUGCUAUUAUCCCAGUAGUGGCCAUAAAUAAGGAAUCAUUUCGUAAAGAAUUUAUUUUCCCAGCAUUCCUUCCUCUAAAUAUCCAUUAAACUUCACAUCAUCACAAAUUUACAUUUCAUCUGUUUUUUAAAUCAGCCUUCAAAAUGAUUGUAUUAUCAUAUAACUAUAGUCUAAUAUGUUUAUCUUCAUUCUUUUCUCCGCUGACAGAACUGACCAUAGCAAUAAAUUAAGCAGAUGGGUUCACUAAGCUCUUUGUGGUGAUGGAAAGAUCCUUGCCCUGGGAAGUUUCAGGGACAGCUGUGGGAAACCCAAGUUGUACCUAAAUAAGCUUCAUGAGUCUAAAAACCACAGAUUCCAUUGGGAUGAGACCUCAGCCUUUGGAUUUCACUUGGUAUAUCAUGUUCACACAGUUUUAAAAGAAAUGGAAAAUCUGGGGGACUUAUUAGUAUAGUAAGCCAUCUAGGAAUUACAUUGUUCCACCUGUGUUUAAUUCUACCUAAGAGGAAAAAUUUACCUGGAGGGCAAACUACAAAAUAAUAUGAGUCCAUGAACAAGUCAUUUCAUGCUACCAUAAUAUUUUCAUUCAAGUGAAUAGUGUUUGAAAUGAAUAUCAAGAGCUAUAUGAGAAGGGAUAGCCUCAAUACAGAGUAGCCAGUAGACUAAGUCACUUGGAUGAUGGUGAAGUAAAGAGAAAAAUAUUAAGGGAUGACAAUUUACUUCCAUACUUGUCUGUCUCUUCCUUACACCCUGAGAUAAUGCAUAUCUUGAGGUAUCUGAACCCCUACACUAAAGCAUGUAGCCCUGGAUGGAUUGUCACCUGAUAUGUCAUAGCUAGGAUUUGGGGGGGGUGCCCAAUAAAUAUAAUUCAUACUCACUAGUUGCCUUAGUGCCACUCCCUAGAAACCUUCCAUAUAGCAUACUUCGCCACAGCCAAGAUCUUUAAACUUGAGCUUUCCUUUCCUCUUCCUUUCCUUCUCCCACCCACUCUCCUCACUUCUUUCUCUUUCCUGCCUUCUUUCCUCCCCUCCAAUUCAAGUGCAUGCUGCCUACUUCUCAGCACCUCACUUUUCUGCUCAUUCUCUCUCUCAAUAUUCAACUUCUCUAAAGAAAAAAGGAUAGCAGAUUAAACUGGGUUGGCAUUUACAUGGUUCUUUUUGAUGAUCUAGAAAAGCUAGGCUGUCUGAACCAAACAUGUUCCCAAAUUAAUCAUGUUUGUCCUGUCCUGUGCCACAAUCAAAUAUAUUACUCUUUUAUGAUGUGAUUUUCUAAAAAGAUAGCCUGUUUAUACUUUUCUCACUAUAAGAUUCAUUUAAUUAUUCACUAGUUUACGUGUUUUAAUUUCCAAAAUAUGAUAAACUGCGUUUUUUGUUAUCAUGGGAGGUAGGGAUCUAAUUUUUGUCCUAUGUUAUUAGCCAGCUGUCACAAAACUAUUUUCUGAAUGAUUUAGCCUUUCUAUACUAAUUUAAAAUGCUCUCUAUAGCAUGACAUCACACACAUACACUCAUACACAUUUGUUUUAGGAGUCUUCUUACUAUCCCAUCUUUACUUGUUGUACCAGAACCAUGUUGUUUUAAUAUCAUUAUACUACUUAAUAUCUGAUAAUGUAAGUAUCCCUCUUUAUCUUCAUAAGCAAAAUUGGUUCUUUCAUACCUUUAUUAUCUCAUAUAAACUUUUCAAUUAUUUUGUCAAAUUACAAAAUUAAGCCCAUUGAAAGUUUGCUUGUAAAUGCCUUAAAUUUGUAUACUGAUUUAUUUAGGACAAGAAUCUUAAUUUUACUGAAAAUUCUUAACUAGAAAUUCCUUUAUCUUCUAUAAUCUAUAAAUUUUUAGAUAUAGUUUAUCAUGUUUUUGUUACUAUAAAUGGGUUUUUUUCACCACUAUAUUUUUAUAAUCAGUUGAUAAUAUAUAGGAAUCUAAAUAUAGACGAUCUAUGGACUAGGAUUUAUAUUAGGCAUCAGAGAUGGAAAAUGGAGGAGGAGGGGGAGGAGGCGAAAGGGGAAGAGGAAAAAGAAGUGCCAAUUUAAGUUGCUUGCAGUUUCGAUGGGCAAAGCUGUCAAGUAAAUCAAUGAUAACAUCACAGUGUGAUAAGGUAUGAGGCAGAGGGCAUGAUAGUGAGCUCCAUCUGUCAUGGCCAUCUAUCCACCAACUUUGCCAUCUACACAGGUUUUUAUUCCCUGAAAUAAUUCAUCUAAAUCAUCCAUAUGAUAGAAUGGACUUAUCUAGUUGAUAGAUAAAUACCAUUUUUCUUGCCAUAGAGAGACUAAUUACUUGCCCACUAUGACUUCAUAGAAUUACUAUGAAUCUCCUAUGUUCCUGACAUUUCAGUAGGCAACAGCAGAGUAUAAAUCCAUUCACACAAUUCAAGUAUUCACAGAGUUCAUAGCAUAUCUGCUCAGAUAUAUUUUUUGAAGACAACAUUGCUUGGACUUGAGCACACACACGUGAUUACACACAACACACAAAGAUAAAGAAAUAGAAUAUCAUAGAUGAGAAACAAAAUCAUCUAUUUAAGACCUUUAACUAUAUAUUCACUAUGCUGCUGUGAUAAAAUAAUACCCUCCCCUAAAGAUAUUCCUAUCCUAUUCCCAGAACCUGUAAAUAUGUUACUUUAAAUGGCAAAAGGAACUUUGCAAUGUGAUCAAGUUCUGGAUUGGGGGACUGGGAAAUUGUCCUGGAGUAUUUGUAUGGACCCAAUGUAAUCACACAGGACAGUCAGAGCCAGAGAGAAGGCAAUGUGAUGACGAAGCAGAGGCCUGAGUGAUGUACAAAAGGGAUCAUGAGUUAAGGAAGGCAAGUGACAUCUAAAAGCUUUAAAAGACAAAGAAAUGGAUUCUCCCCUAGAGCCUCCAGAAGGAAUGCAGUGCACACAACCUACUUUAAACUUCAGACCACCAAAACUGUAACGUAAUAAAUGUGAAUUGUUUUAAGCCACUAAAUUUGCUAUAGCAGCAACUGGAAGUUAAUACAGCUGAUAAAUCCAGACUCUUCAGUAUCACAGUCACAGCUAUUAUUUAAAUAAUCACAGUGAAACUCUUUAACCCUCUCUCUCAUGGCAGCAUAAUACAGCCCAUUCAAAAAAGCAAUGUAAUAAGCAACAUUUUCUCCUUGCCUUUUGCAUCUUUUCUUAACCUUGCUCCAAUUCUGGCCAUAAGCCAUCUCCUUCUCUAUACAAUUCAUGUCCACAGCUUGCUUUAAAGCCAGAUCUCUAAAUUCAUUUAAUUCCACUAAUUCAAAUCUUUCCCAUUACAGUGGUAUCCAAACAGUACUUUAGCUUUUUAAACUCAACACUCUGCUUUGUAAUUCUUCUUAAAUCAUCUGAACUAUCUAGUAUGCUGUUCUGCCCACUUAAAACCUUCAAAGAAACAGAAGAUGGAUGUGCUUUGGUUUUUAAUCAUCCUGAUGAGGCCUCCUAACUUUCUCACAAUCAUAGUAUACACAGAAAAUAAUGGAAUUUGCACAGCAUCCUUGAGUAAGUGUAUGUGGUUGUCAGGGCCAGGUUUCUGGCUACACUAGGAUCUGCCUGAAGGCCAGGUCAAAAUAUGAGUUAUUCAGAACAUGGAAAUUGGAAACUCUCCUAGGCAUUCAGCAAGCACCAUGCUGCUCACUUAAUUGGAGUUUGGUAUACAUUUGCAAACGCUUCUUGUUAACCAGGAAUGAUAAAGCUAUUAGAAUUUCUAAAAUCAGGUGUACAUAGUUAUCGGAAAGAAAUGGAAGCACUUUAUGCUUCUAUAGAACUGUGAUUUUAUAAACUAUUUUCACACACUCCUUCAUGUGACUAUCAUAAGAAUAUGUGAGAUAAGAAAAUAAGCAUUAUUUGUGCUAUUUUAUAAAUGAAGAAGCUAAGACUUGGAAGGACAAAUAACUUCCCAGAGCUAUCAAAUGGCAGUACCAGGACUGGAGAGUGGCAAUUCUAACUCUACAUUCAUUGUCCUUUCCUCCCUGCCCCAGGAUUAAUUAAGCCCCCUCACCCAAGCUAAUAGUGGUGUUUCUAAAACCCAGGGUAAAAAUGUGUGUACUCAUUUUUAAGUUUUGAGUGGAAAAUUAAAAUCUUAUGUUCUAAGAUCUGAGCUUUUUAAAAAGACUUUUAUUUUCUAUUCUAAUCAAAAAACCAUUAGAGAGUACCCAAAAUUAACAAAAUGCCAUGUUUUAUCAUAUUCAUCACUUAGGAGAAAGACCCAGUAGCCUCACACUAAAACAUAAAAGUUUUAAGUUUUACAGUUAAUUUGCUGAGGCAGCAAACUGCAGCUCCAUUGGGGAAGUGCUACAAGGUAUUUGGAGAUAAGAGAAUGUCUCAAAUAGAGAAACCAGAUGCAUUAUGAAAAAUGUGUACAAGUCUGAAUGGCUGGAGGAUAAAUAAGACAUAUACUUCUCUGCCCUUGAGGAAUAUGAACAGCUACAUUCUUUUAUUCUUAUAUCACCUAUUGAAGUCAGCAAGUUCCUCCAGGAGGAAUCAAUAAGACAGCUGUAUCCCUUAGAAGGGAUGGCAGUAAGUUAUCCAUUACUCCUCUUUUCAGACAUAAAAUAAAGGAAAACAUAAUUUAUUCAAAUUAGGGGAGAAGUAAUAUAUAAUCUACCAUAAGCAACAUGCAAGCCUACUGAAAAUAAUAGCAUUAUCAUUCUGA